CAGGCCACUACUAGCUAAUCCGUAAACCCUACACCCUAACAUGAGAAAAAUCCACUGUUCAUAACUGAAAUUUUGUUUUCGUUUGCAGUAUUUACAUUUAUUUAUAUACACUAAAAUCCGAACUCGAGUAGUACUGUUCUACGGUAGUGUGCGGAUCAAAAUACCCCUCAAUUUGUUUGUUAAGCCACUUUUUAGCCAUCUCUUUUACAGUAACUUUCUCGCCCUACGAGACCACGCGUUUCUCCUCUCCGGUUUCGAUUUUUUGGGUGCUUCGGUGCUCCUUCCUUUUUUCUUUACUGUUGUCGCUAUUCUAACCCUAAUUUUUCUCCCCCUUUCUGAUCUCAUCUCUCUCCCCUCGUGCCGAUCAGUCAAACUGUAAAAAUUUUGUCUGUGUGCCUGAUCUCAUCUCUCUCCGCUCGCGCCGAUCUGUUGAACUGUAAAAAUUUCGUCCAUGUGCCGUCGUUGUCACUGCUUGCUAUAAAAAAUAAUUUGGUUUGCUGACGCGGGAUUGCCAGAUCUGUAACCUUUUUGUGAGUUUUGUAAUUUUCUUACUGGCUUCAGUUCCUUUUUUUUGGUUUGUUCUGUAUAUUUUGCAUCCUCUGCUUGCUUUUAUUGGUUUUCACUUUUUGUCUCAAAUUGCUCUUUCAUUGUUUUGGGUUUUGUGGUUUUGCAUUCCGUGGUGGGGAUCGUAACUUUCCAUGAAUCAAGGGGAAGAUCUUGAGAGAGAAAGUAGAAAGAGAGGAGGGGGGGGGGGAGAAAGAUGUCGAAUUGAGUGGGAAUACCAUGACGCUCAAAGAUUUCCAUGGCGGGUCGAUUCCCUCUGAUCUCCCUCUUCCUUCUGCUCCUGGGGUUUUUGGUUGAUUCAGUUCGCGUUAGGGUUUAUGAGGUGGAGAUCUCGCGGAAUGGCGCAGUAGGAUUUGACCAGUUGGUUCACUGGUAUGGUUUUUAGCUGAAUGGCGCUGUAGAAUUGUUAGAAUUUUGUGAUUUAAAAAAAAAGAAAAUUUUUUUUGGAGUUUUUGCUCUGUUUGGUUGCCCGGAAAAUCCAUGACAAUGGAGGGAGAAAAUUCAUGGAGUUGUGCAUUAUAUGAAUGUUUUUAUUUUUAUUUUGCCCAUUUAAAUUUAAAUUUAGUUGAAUUUACUUUA
Long non-coding RNA from Pyrus x bretschneideri (Chinese white pear), 1143 nucleotides. RefSeq lists it as uncharacterized. The record is from RefSeq and is a predicted model, not a curated record. Lineage: Eukaryota; Viridiplantae; Streptophyta; Magnoliopsida; Rosales; Rosaceae. The transcript has 2 exons.